Molecule: ribosomal RNA, 201 nt
Filed under: Alistipes sp.
Lineage: Bacteria; Pseudomonadati; Bacteroidota; Bacteroidia; Bacteroidales; Rikenellaceae
Description: partial 23S ribosomal RNA
Rfam family: Bacterial large subunit ribosomal RNA
Source: RNAcentral
GUGUAUCGGUUAUGCUGCCAAGUGUACCGCCGAGUAGCCGCGUUCGGUUUGGAUAAGCGCUGAAAGCAUCUAAGCGCGAAGCCAUCCCCAAGAUAAGUCUUCCCUUGAGGGGCGUAGGAGACUACUACGUUGAUAGGCUGCAGAUGUAAAGGUAGUAAUAUCAAAGUCGAGCAGUACUAAUUACCCGAACGGCUUUCUUGC